RNAcentral lists this ribosomal RNA (301 nucleotides) under uncultured bacterium. RNAcentral's name for it is "partial 16S ribosomal RNA". It matches the Rfam family "Bacterial small subunit ribosomal RNA", at positions 509 to 807 of the family's 1533-position model. The record is from RNAcentral.
CAGUAGCCGCGGUAAUACGAAGGGGGCUAGCGUUGAUCGGAAUUACUGGGCGUAAAGCGCACGUAGGCGGCUUGGUAAGUUAGAGGUGAAAGCCUGGAGCUCAACUCCAGAAUUGCCUUUAAGACUGCCGAGCUAGCAGGUGAGAGAGGUAAGUGGAAUUCCGAGUGUAGAGGUGAAAUUCGUAGAUAUUCGGAAGAACACCAGUGGCGAAGGCGGCUUACUGGCUCAUACUGGACGCUGAGGUGCGAAAGCGUGGGGAGCAAACAGGAUUAGAUACCCCAGUAGUCCCUGUCUCUUAUAC